GCGAAACGAAACUUGUGAAUCGUGCAUUUGCUCUUCAUGGUAGCUGCCAGAAAAUCGAAUCAAGCUUAUGGGACACUGGAUUUCAGGUUGCUGCCACUACUCCAUGUGCCCUCAAUUGCCUUGCGUGUAUGAGUACACUAACGACGUCGCCCACCACGGCGGGAGUGUUUUGCGUACACGCGUUUCAGCAUGAACCCUGCAGGUGGACGUAAAUUGUAGAAGGCAGCUAGUGGGGGAGAAGAUCAUGGUCAUAGGUCAUGUGGCUCCUGGAGCUCCCAGUGGACUCCCUUGUGGAGUACUUUUCAGAACACACACACAGUUCGCUCACAGAACCAACGAGUAGGAUGUUGCUUGAAUACUGAGAGAAUGGCGU
This is a long non-coding RNA of Ornithodoros turicata, 373 nucleotides long. RefSeq lists it as uncharacterized. The transcript is spliced from 3 exons. The record is from RefSeq and is a predicted model, not a curated record. Lineage: Eukaryota; Metazoa; Arthropoda; Arachnida; Ixodida; Argasidae.